RNAcentral lists this signal recognition particle RNA (275 nucleotides) under Candidatus Woesearchaeota archaeon. RNAcentral describes it as "signal recognition particle sRNA". It matches the Rfam family "Archaeal signal recognition particle RNA". Lineage: Archaea; Nanobdellati; Candidatus Woesearchaeota. The record is from RNAcentral.
AGGCGAGCUAGGCUGGUGCAUUAGCCCUGUACUGUAACCAUAAAUGGGCUUUAUGAUGGAGUCAAAGCCUGGAAAGAGGCAUAUUUCAAGUCUGUUGGUCUUGGAGUUGCCAAUGAAGUUCUGUCCUAUGGGAUCGAUGCUCAUAGGAACCGCGUCAGGCCCUGACGGGAGCAGCGCUAACUAUAUGUGUCGAUGCUCAUAGGGUAGCGGAACCGAGAAUACUCCAGGGUUAACCAAUAAGCUUGAAGUGUGUCCAUUUUCGGGCGUGCUCGCCU